AGAAUCAACGCUGGCGGCGUGCCUAACACAUGCAAGUCGCACGAGAAAGGGUAGCAAUACCUGAGUAAAGUGGCGCACGGGUGAGUAACACGUGAAUUAUCUACCUCCGAGUGGGGAAUAACUGAGAGAAAUCUUAGCUAAUACCGCAUAACACUUACGAGUCAAAGCAGCAAUGCGCUUGGAGAGGAGUUCGCGGCCGAUUAGUUAGUUGGCGGGGUAAUGGCCCACCAAGACGAUGAUCGGUAUCCGGCCUGAGAGGGCGCACGGACACACUGGAACUGAAACACGGUCCAGACUCCUACGGGAGGCAGCAGUGGGGAAUUUUGCGCAAUGGGGGAAACCCUGACGCAGCAACGCCGCGUGGAGGAUGAAAUAUCUUGGUAUGUAAACUCCUUUCGAUGGGGAAGAUUAUGACGGUACCCAUAGAAGAAGCCCGGCUAACUUCGUGCCAGCAGCCGC
RNAcentral lists this ribosomal RNA (459 nucleotides) under uncultured bacterium. RNAcentral describes it as "SSU rRNA". It matches the Rfam family "Bacterial small subunit ribosomal RNA", at positions 26 to 518 of the family's 1533-position model. The record is from RNAcentral.